UGGGGAAUCUUGCGCAAUGGGCGAAAGCCUGACGCAGCAACGCCGCGUGGGGGAUGAAGGCUCUCGGGUUGUAAACCCCUUUCAGUAGGGACGAAAAUGACGGUACCUACAGAAGAAGCCCCGGCCAACUACGUGCCAGCAGCCGCGGUAACACGUAGGGGGCAAGCGUUGUCCGGAUUUAUUGGGCGUAAAGAGCUCGUAGGCGGUUCGGUAAGUUGGGUGUGAAACCUCCAGGCUCAACCUGGAGACG
This 250-nucleotide ribosomal RNA is filed under the name uncultured bacterium. RNAcentral's name for it is "partial 16S ribosomal RNA". It matches the Rfam family "Bacterial small subunit ribosomal RNA", at positions 355 to 622 of the family's 1533-position model. The record is from RNAcentral.